CCUACGGGGGGCAGCAGUGAGGAAUAUUGGUCAAUGGGCGGAAGUCUGAACCAGCCAAGUAGCGUGCAGGAUGACGGCCCUACGGGUCGUAAACUGCUUUUGCACGGGGAUAACAUGCUCCACUUGUGGAGUUUUGCAGGUACCGUACGAAUAAGGGCCGGCUAAUUCCGUGCCAGCAGCCGCGGUAAUACGGAAGGCCCGAGCGUUAUCCGGAUUUAUUGGGUUUAAAGGGAGCGUAGGCCGGCCGUUAAGUCCGCUGUGAAAUCCCGGGGCUCAACCGGGGCACUGCAGUUGAAACUGGACGCCUUGAGUGCACAAGAGGCAGGCGGAAUUCGUGGUGUAGCGGUGAAAUGCUUAGAUAUCACGAGGAACCCCGAUUGCGAAGGCAGCCUGCCGGGGUGCGACUGACGCUGAGGCUCGAAGGUGCGGGUAUCAAACAGGAUUAGAUACCCCAGUAGUC
Molecule: ribosomal RNA, 460 nt
Filed under: uncultured bacterium
Lineage: Bacteria
Description: partial 16S ribosomal RNA
Rfam family: Bacterial small subunit ribosomal RNA
Source: RNAcentral